This 73-nucleotide transfer RNA is filed under the name Anomaloglossus surinamensis. RNAcentral's name for it is "tRNA-Asn". RNAcentral also lists the same sequence under 2 other names. Lineage: Eukaryota; Metazoa; Chordata; Amphibia; Anura; Aromobatidae. The record is from RNAcentral.
UAGAUUAAAGCUCGCUGGAUAGAGUAUUUAGCUGUUAACUAAAGUGUUACGGGAUCGAGGCCCGUUAUUCUAG